This 485-nucleotide ribosomal RNA is filed under the name uncultured bacterium. Its description in RNAcentral is "partial 16S ribosomal RNA". It matches the Rfam family "Bacterial small subunit ribosomal RNA", at positions 899 to 1397 of the family's 1533-position model. The record is from RNAcentral.
ACUCAAAUGAAUUGACGGGGACCCGCACAAGCAGCGGAGCGUGUGGUUUAAUUCGAGGCUACGCGAAGAACCUUACCAGGGUUUGACAUGUACGUAGUAGUGAAGCGAAAGCGGAACGACCCUUCGGGGAGCGUACACAGGUGAUGCAUGGCUGUCGUCAGCUCGUGCCGUGAGGUGUUUGGUUAAGUCCACUAACGAGCGCAACCCUUAUCGCCAGUUAUACGUGUCUGGCGAGACUGCCGGUCUUAAGCCGGAGGAAGGUGGGGAUGACGUCAAGUCAGCAUGUCCCUUAUAUCCUGGGCUACACACACGCUACAAUGGCCGGUACAGUAGGGUGCUAAGCCGCGAGGCGGAGCCAAUCCUCAAAAUCGGUCUCAGUUCGGAUCGUAGGCUGCAACCCGCCUACGUGAAGUCGGAGUUGCUAGUAACCGCAGGACAGCUAUACUGCGGUGAAUACGUUCCCGGGUCUUGUACACACCGCCCGU